Leptidea sinapis is the source of this 1144-nucleotide long non-coding RNA. RefSeq lists it as uncharacterized. The record is from RefSeq and is a predicted model, not a curated record. NCBI's taxonomy places the organism in Eukaryota, Metazoa, Arthropoda, Insecta, Lepidoptera, Pieridae. The transcript is spliced from 2 exons.
GGCUCGCACUAUGGACGCACACUAAGGGGGGUGAGGAAGACAGCUUCUAUAAUCCAACUACUACGCAUGCGCGAAACCGGAGCGGGGAGCCCGGUCAGGCGGCAGCAUUCAGUUUGCGCACGUAUCUACUACCAGUACCGAUAUUUAGUCUAACCUCAAAUCAAAUUAAUAAUAUACAAAUACUGGCACCAAGUAUACCUGAAUACAGGUAGUCGGUUCUGUUAUUAUAACAAGUACGCAGGUGAAAUUGUUGUUUACACAAGUUUUAGUUACAAAUUAUUUCGUGAAAAUGGAUAUAGAUAAUUUAAUUUCGUCUGUAUUUAAUAAAAGAGCGCUGUGGGACAAGAAACAUAAACGCCAUGGAAAUAGGCAUUUGACGAAUAAGUAUUGGCACGAAAUUAGUACAGAGAUGAAUGAAGAUGAAAAUAAAAUACGAAAGAAAUGGCGUUACCUGCGAGAUCAAUUCGCCGUAGAACUAGGCAAGAUUCACUGCAACUGGAUGGAAGACGAGGAAAACGUAAACAGUCCAAAGUGGCCUUAUUUUAAAUCUCUACUGUUUCUCAAGGACCAAGUGAGGCCCCGAAUCACGAAACGCUUUUCUCGCCAAAGAUCACAAGAUUCACAGGAACAAAAUUCAGAAGACCCUGACUUCGAUAAUGAUGGUCCACUGCUGGCCUCAAAUGAUAAAUUCGAUGAACCAAGUCCUGCCUCAUCAAGCCGUGAAACAGAAGUAAAGCAUAGCCCAUUCAAAAGACCAAAGAACAAAAUACAUACAGAUAGAAGACUAGAAAUAGAGAAAAGGAAAUUAUGGUACAUUCAGAAGAAAAGACUAAAGCAGAAAAGGCUAAUUUCAGAAAGGGGGGAGCAUCUUUUGUUUUUCAAAAGUCUUUUGCCCCAUAUUCGAAAGAUUCCAAGGCACACACUGCUUUCGUUUAGAAGCCGAAUACAAGAUGUAGUAGAAGAAUUUGCUUACCGGAAUAAGAAUAUCGAAUCAGCGAAUUCCGCUUCAAACAUGUCGGAUUUUUCUUGCCAAAGCCCUAUGGAGAUUGGAGAAAGUAAAUCAGAAAUAAGAAUUGAUGCUUAAAUUUUUUAUCUUUAUUACCAAUGUGUAUUAAGUGAGUUAAUAAAAUAAUUAUCUAUGUUA